This 2023-nucleotide long non-coding RNA is filed under the name Brassica napus (rape). RNAcentral describes it as "long non-coding RNA (BNAP_LNC009165)". The record is from RNAcentral. Lineage: Eukaryota; Viridiplantae; Streptophyta; Magnoliopsida; Brassicales; Brassicaceae.
UUGCGCCAUUUCAGAGCUAGUCUCUCGUGCUGUUCUUAUGGUAAGCUCGUUGUACUCUAUAAGUUUCUAACUUCGAUGUGAUAGAUUGUAUAGAUGCUGAAAUGGUCGAUUGUUUGAGCUUGAGCUUUGUAUUUUCAAAUGAAGGGACUUUUUAAUUAAUCUUGGUGGAGACAACAAUUAGUAGUGUAAUAUAUCUCCAAAUGCAUAUUCAGAACAGAAUGUAUAUUACAUGUUGUUGAAGUUAUUUGGAUUUUCUUGAAUUUAACUUUUUGCAUCCAAGAACAGAAUGUAUAUUACAUGUUGUUGAAGUUUGUAGGAGUCGUGUCCGGCUUAUAUCAUCAUCUCAUUCUAGUGCUGUUUUUUUCAAAGAUGAUUUAUUACUCUUAUUGUUGUGUAACCAGGUUUUUAUUUCCAUGAGAAGCAAUUUACAGCGUCUGAUAUCAAGAAAGGCAAAGACCCAAUCCAAAGUUGCUUUGGAUGUUGCAGCUUUCUCUCUUGGAUUUGUCACCUAUUGAAAGAUCGUGGUAUGUUUUUUCUAUAUCCUAUUGCUGAAUGGUAUGAAGAUGAACUUAUCUAACUUCAUUUUGAACAAAAUAUAUGAGAUGAAAAGAAAAACUUGUUUACUACUUAAAAAGAGUUUUUUCAACCUCUUUGAUAACUAAAGAAAAUACUAAUAAUAAAGAAACAAAUCGAUCAGUCUCUCAUGUGCUUUUCUCCUCUCUCAUCGGGUGGGGUGUGUAGUCUGCGGACGAGUCCUUCUGGAGUUCGUUGCUUUCUAUCAAAUCCUCUCAUGGAUACAAAUCCUGCACAUCACACCAUCAUAUUGUUAUUCAUAUAUUUCAACUUAAUAAUUAAAUAAAACUCGAAACUAGACAACGUUUGUUACCAGUCCAAAAACAUAGUCGAGUUCUUGUUUCGUCUAACAUCCGAAAAAUGGAUGUCACUGAUGAACCACAAUAUAGCGCACGCUUCUCCAACCCAUUACAUAACUCUCUAGAAAACACAAUAGGUUCUAAACUCGUCUCAUGAUCUGCAAAAACCUGGAAAAAAAAAGUUUUCAGUUCAGUGAAAACCAAUACAAUGCAGAAAAAAUAAACUUACCUCAUUGGUUUGAAAGUAUGUGCCAUUAAGUGGGAAACCACCUUGCAUUGCUGUUCUACAAGGGAUCUGUUCAAUUUGCAUUGAUCCAUGUAAGUUCAAGUCAAUAGAGUUAUUAGAAAUUUAGAAUGAUAAGUCUUUUAAUUCAGUUUUUACCAGAAUUGUUCCACGGUAAGUGUUUGAACUUUCUUCUCGUAUAUUCCAACAAUAAGAACAAGUCUUAAUCACGCAGAGGUUUGUUCCAUCUGAGUCACAUUUCUUCUUUGGUGGCAUGAACGAGUUUGACGUUUCACCUAGAAAAAAAAAAUCGAAUGAAAAAUUAGUUUAUGCUUAUGUGAAUGAUGAUAAAAGUUUUUUGUGUGUUUACCAUACCUGGUUGCCAAAGGGCAAGAAGAUAUGGACUAGGAUCAUCACAUUCUCUUCUCUCAAACUAUAAUACAUAACAAAAUCAUAUUAAUAUUCUAACAGAUCAUACAAAAGUGAUGCCAAUCUUUAGUAUAUAUAUACUUACAUCAUUGAGGAUCUCAUGGUUAUCAGGAAGCACAUAUCUGCAAAACAAAGUAGAUUAUAUAUUCCCAUAAUAUGAUAAUCUUGCAAAAGUAGAUAAACAAUACUUACACCACAUGUUCAGUUCUUAAUCUGUCAUAGUACUUUGUUUUACGAGGCAACUUCAUUGGAAUGCAUGCAUUCUCCUGGGUCAUUACUGCUAAUGCUUUUGAAAUCUCAUCAUCAGAACCGUUGAGAAUCGUUCCAAUUUUCUUAAAUACAUCCACUACGUUUUUCUUCAGUGCAUCAAUGUCGAUAUUGAUUCCAGGAAUUGCAGCAUUAGACCGACAAGAACUUCUGCAAGGAGUGUCUUCAAUGUCUGGCAACUCUGGAAUUUCUCUAGCUGGAGAAGAGGGGAACUCAACUAUUGGCUCACAAC